GUGCCAGCAGCCGCGGUAAUUCCAGCUCCAAUAGCGUAUAUUAAAGUUGUUGUGGUUAAGAAGCUCGUAGUUGAACCUUGGGCCUGGCUGGCCGGUCCGCCUCACCGCGUGCACUGGUCCGGCCGGGCCUUUCCCUCUGUGGAACCCCAUACCCUUCACUGGGCGUGGCGGGGAAACAGGACAUUUACUUUGAAAAAAUUAGAGUGCUCCAGGCAGGCCUAUGCUCGAAUACAUUAGCAUGGAAUAAUAAAAUAGGACGCGCGGUUCUAUUUUGUUGGUUUAUAGGACCGCCGUAAUGAUUAAUAGGGACAGUCGGGGGCAUCAGUAUUCAACUGUCAGAGGUGAAAUUCUUGGAUCAGUUGAAGACUAACUACUGCGAAAGCAUUUGCCAAGGAUGUUUUCAUUAAUCAGGAACGAAAGUUAGGGGAUCGAAGACGAUCAGAUACCGUCGUAGUCUUAACCAUAAACUAUGCCGACUAGGGAUCGGACGGUGUUAUUCAUGACCCGUUCGGCACCUUACGAGAAAUCAAAGUGCUUGGGCUCCAGGGGGAGUAUGGUCGCAAGGCUGAAACUUAAAGAAAUUGACGGAAGGGCACCACCAGGGGUGGAGCCUGCGGCUUAAUUUGACUCAACACGGGGAAACUCACCAGGUCCAGACACAAUAAGGAUUGACAGAUUGAGAGCUCUUUCUUGAUUUUGUGGGUGGUGUGCAUGGCCGUUCUUAGUUGGUGGGGUGACUUGUCUGCUUAAUUGCGAUAACGAACGAGACCUUAACCUGCUAAAUAGCCCGCAUUGCUUC
This 799-nucleotide ribosomal RNA is filed under the name uncultured fungus. RNAcentral describes it as "SSU rRNA". It matches the Rfam family "Eukaryotic small subunit ribosomal RNA", at positions 564 to 1371 of the family's 1831-position model. Lineage: Eukaryota; Fungi. The record is from RNAcentral.